Rhopalosiphum padi (bird cherry-oat aphid) is the source of this 379-nucleotide long non-coding RNA. RefSeq lists it as uncharacterized. The transcript is spliced from 2 exons. The record is from RefSeq and is a predicted model, not a curated record. NCBI's taxonomy places the organism in Eukaryota, Metazoa, Arthropoda, Insecta, Hemiptera, Aphididae.
UUCCAAGUACUAGUUAUCAUAUAAACAUUUUCGUUCUAAUUAUGGUGUGUAGUAGUGACUUUAUUUACUACAAUUAUACGCAUAUUUAACUGACUACAAUAUUUUCAGAUUGCAAUACAGCAGACAAUGAAAGCCAUGGUGAGACAUGAAUUCGCGAUUCUAUCAGUUUGGAAAAUAUAAACAUCCUACGAUGACAAUGGACUAGAAGAUACUGAUAAUAAUAAUUGUUUUAUUCAACAUGGCAAUACAGCAGAUGACUCAAGGAAUGCUGAGACAUUUAUUCAUAUGCAUACAACUUUGGAAAAGUAUGAACAUCCAAUGUUGAAAAUGAACUAAAAGAUACUGAUUAUAAAGAAUUAAUGCAAUGUACGUGUAAUGA